CGGGAGGGAUUUGGAUCCUGCCAGCUCGUCCCUGCAACCCCCUACUCCGGUCCCCUCAAACCUGUCCGUGGCUGGCAGCCCUGUGAUACCUCGCCACAUUCUGCAACAGAAUCCGAGAUAGAGGUAGAAGUGGGGGAGUACGUCGUGGCUGUCAGGGCAGCUUUCUGUAAAAUGCUGCCUGGAGGAGCAUGUGAUUCCAGACCCUCCUCUCUGCAACGAAAGUGAGGUUGACACCUGCAGGUAUGAUUGUAACACGACUUUUAGUUCAGGCCUGGGGCCUCCUGGCCCACUGAGCAGAACACACAGAAGCUGGGCCCACCCCUGCCCUCCCCACAAAGGGUCACGGGAGCCACCGCCUGACUUUGAAGCCCACUGACUUGCGGCUGACAAGAGAAAAGGCACUGAGGGCUCGCCACAACCCCCUGUGUAUUUAUCUUACAGAAUGUGCCCCUGUGAUCAUGUGAAAGCAUCAGCCAGGGGUCCAAGAACUUCCCUCUGGAGCCUCACACUCCCAGCGUGGCACCCAGCAGGGAACAGAUUCUCUCCAAACCUUUGUGAAUGAAUGAAGGAUGACGUCACUAGAAUCCAUCCCUGUUUUAUUUUUUAUUUUUAUUUUUUGAGACAGAGUCUCGCUCUGUUGUUGCCCAGGC
RNAcentral lists this long non-coding RNA (650 nucleotides) under Homo sapiens (human). RNAcentral's name for it is "HSALNT0355035". Lineage: Eukaryota; Metazoa; Chordata; Mammalia; Primates; Hominidae. The record is from RNAcentral.